This 74-nucleotide transfer RNA is filed under the name Streptomyces phage Tomas. Its description in RNAcentral is "tRNA-Ile". It matches the Rfam family "tRNA". From Rfam's summary of the family: Transfer RNA (tRNA) molecules are approximately 80 nucleotides in length. Their secondary structure includes four short double-helical elements and three loops (D, anti-codon, and T loops). Lineage: Duplodnaviria; Heunggongvirae; Uroviricota; Caudoviricetes; Stanwilliamsviridae. The record is from RNAcentral.
UGCCGUAUAGUUCAAUUGGCAGAGCAUACGCCCUGAUCAGGCAAAUGAUGGUUCGAGUCCAUCUGCGGCAGCCU